Non-coding RNA from Cinara cedri, 513 nucleotides. Lineage: Eukaryota; Metazoa; Arthropoda; Insecta; Hemiptera; Aphididae. The record is from the annotation of a GenBank genome assembly.
GGAUUCAAAAUACAGCCAAGGGGAUGGGUUGUGGAAAGAACUUUUGCUUGGAUUAAUAGGAAUAGAAGACUAUCAAAGGAGUAUGAUUUGCUUACAACAUCUACAGAAAACUUUAUAUAUUUAGCUAUGAGUAGUAUUGAAAUUUUGGUUUAUGCUAAUUUUCAAGUAGAGAUGGGUGCAAACACGCUGUAUGGCGGAAAGGGAGGGAUUCGAACCCUCGACAUAUUUCCAUAUGUGCACGCCUUCCAAGCGUGUGCUUUAGGCCACUCAGCCACCUUUCCAUAAGUAUGAAUCCUUCAGAUGUUUAGACAUUUUAUCCCAAUUUGGGAUGGCUUUGUUGCAUAGCUAUUUGUAUUAAGACAGCAUAUGUAAAUUCAAGCAGCCAUUUCAAACUUAGGCAUACCUAUAUUAAUAAAUUUAUUAAUUAAGUAGCAUUUAAUGAGGAGCUCUUUUUCCCCGAUUUAUUUCAGAUCUGUUCUUCAAACUAAACCCAAAUAUCUGUUUGAGCCUGUA